Long non-coding RNA from Phragmites australis (common reed), 478 nucleotides. RefSeq lists it as uncharacterized. The record is from RefSeq and is a predicted model, not a curated record. NCBI's taxonomy places the organism in Eukaryota, Viridiplantae, Streptophyta, Magnoliopsida, Poales, Poaceae. The transcript has 3 exons.
UGGCAAUACACCAAAGAGUUACUCUCUGAAUAUGUACAAUGAUUUUGUGCCGAUGUGCAUUUUUCUGAGUCUAACCAAGGGAAACUUGCUUGCGAAGGGAAAGUUGAAGACAAAUUUGAUAUGAAACCGCACAGAGAAAAUCUUGUGGACUAUGGAAAGUUAUGUCGUGAGAGGCCUAAUAUGUCUAUGUGUUAAAACAAGAAAAUUGGAGUUUAUUCCAGAUGACAAUGAAAGAGGCAUGAGACCCUUGCCUGGUCCAGAUGGCCUGGUACCUGGUCCCAAGGUUGUAGUUCUUUCUAUUGUCCAAUGCCUUGUUGCCUAUGUAACUUGAUGCUGUUUUCUGAAGUCAGGAUUUCUGUCUUGUACCUUACGUACUUCUAUUCUCAACAGUGAUCUUUCUGUGAAAAAAACAUUUCUUGAGUUCUCAUUUGGAAAAUCUGUUGCAGAAGUCUCAUUCUUUGUGUCAAUCUUUCUUUUG